GGAGCCGUAUGGGAUGGUAAGGAGGCUCCUGGUCCUGGGCAUGACCUAAAACUGCAUCCUGCCGUGAGUGGGUGGCCUGGUGGGGCUCAGUGGUACAGGAGCCCCCAGGAAAUGUCAGGCCAGUUACCACCCCAGUGAAAAGUGGGUUGGGGUGCCUUAACCCCUAGCCCCCACAACUGGGUGGGUUACCCCUUUGUUUGGAGGGCCCAGAGGUUGGACCCUUGGAGAGAGAAAAAGGGCCAUAGACUCAACUCCUGUCUGAGCUUCCCCUGACUGGUCCAUGCUGGGGCCAGGACCGGAAGGGUCGAAGGGCCGGGGGUCCACCACGAGGAAUGCCCAGGAGCUGAGGGCCUGGGGUUCUGACUGGCCUGAAGGUGGGCCAGGGCUAGAGAGCCGAAAGUUCCGGUGGGGGGAUCGCACCCGAAGGGGAAGCAGUUCAGGGAGCUAGGUUGCUCAGUAUGAAGACAGAUGAGACCACGUGAUGAGAGGAAUCCAGGUGGGGUUCAAUUAGGAGGAUUCUGGGGCCCAGAGUAGGGGCCGGUAAUUAUGAUAACAUCUAGAUGCCAUCUGCGAGGCUUGGGCUGCGGUGUAGGGGAGGAAAGGAGCCGCAGAUAGCGCCCCCCUGGCAUCGGGGCAGAAAAUGGGCAGCUUCCUGCUUAAUUGAUGUCUAUUAAUCAAUUAACAUCAAGGCAUAGCAGGAGAGAAGGUGGACAGUUACCCCAGAAACAGGUGGGCAGGCCACAGCGAGAUCAGCCCCAAGAAGGCCCCCGUUACAAAGACACUAAACAAAUCUUCCCCUUGGGCUUCCUCAGUUGAGAAUGGAGACUGAAAUCUAGCUGGUAAAGAGCAGUUUGCCAUGUUAGCAGUUUUUAAGUCUUAUUCUUGCAAUGCAUGCAGUACAGGCAGACUCCUGUGCCUACGCAGAUCCCCAGUGAAGUCACAGAGGUUCCAGGGCCUCACUUACACAAAGCUCAAUUGAGGAUCAGGGCCAUAACUAGCAAGUUUGUUGUGGUUUUUUUUCCUUAGAUGGGUUCAAGGGAAGAUGAUGUAUAACUUGGUGGACUGCUCUGUUCUCUCUCCUUGGUAAAGUCAUCUGAGCAAUCAGCGCAGCUGCACUUGUAACUGUGCAAUAGUGUCAGAUCUGUAAAGCUCUUUUCAUCGGUGACCAAUUAAGCAAAACCCAAGAUUUUCCUAGUCCAUGUUUUGGGUGAGAAGGGAGCCCCUUAAACUCAUUAGAGAGAGGCUUUUUUUUAAGCUCGGGUGAACUUUGCUUUGUCUCUUGCCUCUGCCUCCGUUCCCUUGUCUCCUCUAUAGUUCAUUCCCAAUUGUACCUGCCAGGAGCACUGAGUCUGUCCCCGAAGUGUUUAUAUUGCACCUGAACAUGAGAAUUUGAUAAGAAAUUUCUGCAGUGAUAAAAAGUGCUCUCAGGUCAAAGCUGAAGUGGUAAAAUUAAUUGUUCAGAGACCAUGCGUCUCAAGCCAUCUAUAAAAGCAGUAUAAUUUACUGCCUGGAGUACCACCUGUGUGAUGCAGCUGUCUCAACCACUUUCCUGAUGCAGAAAAAAUGAUAUUCAGGAGAGGUUUUAUUUGGGUUAAAGUCAUGCUCUCUGGAGGUUUUGUUUUUUCACCUAAUUGAAAACAUUUACAGUCCUCCUGCCAAAGAAAUGUUAGUGUGAGCCAACCUGAUGAAGAGGGCCCCUCGCCUCAAAACCAUGAAUCACUGAAGAUCACUUCUCAAAUCUAGACCUGAAUAUAAGAAUCUGCUUAUCAAAUAAAAAUAGUAGCAAACAGGAUCACUGGGGGGAUGACAGCUUCUUGAGCUUUAUCCAAAGAAUUGUCAUUAGGUUCUUGUUCCAAAAAAUAUUUUCUGCAACAAGAACCUUGGCCAAUAAAAAAUUCAAGAGACAUCCAGAAAAGCAUCCUUUUGCAUAGAUGUGGUAUUGAUCUUCUCUCAGUCCUUGUGCGUAGCCUUGUAGCCUGUUCACGUGAGUGAGGAGUAUGAGCCUGUGCUCCCAUGCAGGCCUAAGCAGAGUUUUGGUGAUAUUUGAGAAUUGCUUUCUCAAAGCUAGUAACUAUAAUACUUCUAUUUUAAGAAGAGGGGUGUUCUCGUGGCUAAAACACUGGCCUGGUGUUCAGAAGAGUUGGGUCUAAGUCAUGAUUCUGUCAUAGAUAUCCUGGCUUACCCAAGGCUUACUUCCUCAGAGCCUUACUUACUCAUUUGUAAAAAGGAGAUUUCCUCUGUCCCACCUUUUGUCCUGUCUCUACAAGGUAGAGACUUUUUAAUUCUGUGAACAGAACCUGGUAGAAAAGUGCCUAACCCAAUCUUGGAUGGGCAUUGGAAAAACUAAAAGAUUAUUUAAAAAAGCUUAAAAACCAAACAAGAACCAAUAAUGAAAAACCAAAGAAACUCAAAGUCGAAGUGAGCAAAGCUUUAGGGUUGCAGUUUGCAGCAUUUUCUGGGUAACUGUGCUCUUUUUUUCCCACCACAUUUCUAAUCCAAUUGCCCUUUUAUCUAUGGAGAACAAAAUAAACCCUUUAAAUAAAUCCACUAACCAAAAAGCAGCUUUGUUUUCUUCUUGCAAAAUUCACCCCCAAGAUACUAACAAUGACAGGGCUCUGAGGUGGGAGAGAGUAUGAGGGGGAACAGGGGGAGGGAAGAGCAGGUAGGAUUUCAGACUUCCUUUUGGACAGGGAAAAAAAAGCAAAAUUGCCUAAGGAAAGACCAGAUUUACAAAGGUGUUUGGGUAGCUAAAGAUGGAGAUAUGUUGCUGGUCAGGUUUAGAAAAGUCUCAGCAGGCUCAAUAGCUAGAUCCCAUUGACUCUGUUAGACAACUAUACCUUUCAAAGAACCGUGCUCCAGAGUACCACAGUGAACCUUGCCAGGCCUGCUCAAAAUAUACGGUGUCCUGAAAUAGAUGUAUUACAGCUAUUUUAGUCUAGUGCCAGGCUAUGCCAACAAACACUGCUGAGAAAGCAAACUUACUGUCAUGUGCUGAGUGGCAUGUUAAGGGGGGCAAUAUUACAUCUCUUUUAGGAUCUAGUGCCUCAUGAUGGCACACCCUUUAACAGGGUAGGUGUAACCUUAGAUGCUUCCUGGCCUUUUAAACAAACACCUUCCUGGAUCUUUAGGUGCCUAAAUCCUUUAGGUCUGUAAGUGCUGUCUUCUGAAAAUGGUACUCUUGCUUUAAUAAUAUUGUUAUAUAAAUGAACAAUUACAAUUUUUAAAAAAUAUUCCUACUCUGUAGUGUGGUAACAUUUUGUAUCAUCAGGCUCAGGGAUGGUGGGCCAUUGUGAUAUAAUUUUUAAUGAUAAAUUUAAAAAAAAUGCUGCAAAGGGAAUUCAGCUAUUGAAUCUGUUUGGCAUGAAGCUAGCUGUAUUCUUUAAAGCCUUUUGGUUAAUUCAACAAGGGAAUUGCACAUGUGUAUUGUUAGACCCUAACUCCAUGAGGCACCCAACGACUAGGGAGACGAUGGUCCAAUUACUCGUGGAUCCUGUUGCUCAUUAGCCAGAGCAGGAAGCAAACACCAGCACACAUUGCUCACCACAGCUUUAUUUGGAAUGGAGACAGCUUCAGACCAGCUCCCUCACAGACAGAAUACGGGGAACUGCCCUGAACAGUAGAUUCUUCCUACAUUUAUACACUUUGGUUUAUACUCAUUAACAUUCGCUUCACUUUCGUCCCGCCUUCUGUUCCAUCCAUUUCCUCCCCUAUCUCAAGCUUGGCCUCUGUUUACUGUUUGCUUAAUUAGCAUGGAAUUGCCUAUGCAUUUCAUUCAUUUACGUGUCUUUUUGCUGUGAGCGCGUGUCUAAGACCUUGACUCCUGCUCUUUAGUCAGUGGGCGGACUUUGACCAAAACCGGGAAGCUUCUGGAGGCUUCUUCACCAAUCGCCAUUCACCUUUUUGCAUGUGUUCAUCUCAGAUACUGUUACCAAUUACGUGUUGUUUUCCACAGUCUGGUCUGUUUUUCUGUCUCAGAUUCUACCAUCUUCCACCCUUUUUGGGUUCCUAUAUCUUAUCUCAUUCUUCACUGUAGCUGGUUCACAACACACAGACUCGCACAGAUUCACUUACUGCUUUUUCCUCAGAAAAUAGUUGACACAGUUUAGAUGGUUACUUAGAGUAAGCAAAUUGCUGGCUUAGCAUAAGCAUUCAUAAGCAAAAUCUGGUUGCCUAAGCAUCUUGCAAUAUAUUUUUAUUAUAUCAUUUCUGCCUUGUGGUUAGCAGCAUUGCUAGGCCACAGGUCAUGCCUUUUAUUCAGCUUGUCGCGGAAACACACACAGAGUACUUUUGGGUCAGGUCAGCAGAAGCUUUUAUUCAAAAGAAACUACAGCUGUAGGGGGAGUUCCAAAGUGACAUGGAUUUCCCAAGCACUUGGAAGGGGUCCCCCCCCAAGAGCAAAAUCAGGAGGCUUAUAUACUUUUUAACAGUCGCUUACAACUCACGUGAUCAUAUAGUGAAAUUAGCAUGAAAAGCGGCUAUACUAUUACUUCAUUAUUUCUUUGCUGUAAUCAGGAUGGGAAUUAUGGGGGAGGUGAGGUUAGUUCACAAACCUCCUUCUUGCACCUGGAAAUCUACUUUGUACAUACUUUUUUGCUACCUUCAAGGCCGCGGUGAGCGAAGCAGUUGCAGAAGAGUUACAAAGAACAAACACUUGCCCUUAUCUGUUCUACUGUACAGAGCCAGCAAUUCUACACAAAGCGGUUAUGUCAUCUUAUAACUAAAAUAAUCAAAGUUUAAGGCAUAUAUUUUUUCUGAUUCCACAAGCUGCAAAUCCAGUGCUCCCUACUAAUCCAAGUUAUUGUCACCCUAACAUGUAUGACUAAAAAAGACACAUGUGCAGCCUCAACUGCUUGAUUUUUCCUAAUACUUACUGCCUAGUGUAGCUUGUUCUGUUGGCUUUUCUAUUCAGAGGUAGACUUGCAUACAGAUAUUACAUGGCCAUAGAACUGUGAUGGAUUCCUUGAGAUGUUUGUAAGUCAUGAAGCCACAGAACUGAACAGACAUGGCAUGUGUCUGGUGCAAAACUUUUUCAAACGUUGUAGAAAAAUGAAGCAAAUAACUGAUGGCCUAGAACCAUCUCCCUUUUGGGUGUAUGUGAGGGAUUUGUUCAUCCAGGGCUUUCAAUCUUGUGGUAGGAAGUGUUUUAUAUAAAUACUAUGGAUCAUUCUGCUAAGCUUCUCAACUAGUAUGAAUCGGAAUAGCUUCUUUGAGGUACAUGGAGCUACCCAGUUCACACUAGUUGAGAAUCUGGCCCAGAGUGUCUGUAGGCUACUGUGAAUGGCAGCAUUUUGAUGGUGAAGCAGAACUAUUAAUAGAGCUGUUUCUCCUUUCUACAAUGAAUAAUUCAGUAUUAUCAACCCCAAGGAAUAAUAAUAAUAAAUCAUGAAGUGAAGCUAGAACUCCUGAGAUUAAGCCAGAUUUCAAGUUUCUUGUUUUUAAUUUUAUUUCCUUUCGUUUUUUGAACACUUAGGGCCAUCUUUUCAAGGUUUUUCUCUGCAAGUAUAAAGGCUGAAAAUGUACUGUUUGUAAUGAAAGCUGAGUAUGAGUUUUAAUAAAAGCUAUAGAAACUGAAGGACUCCAGGAACUGGGUAUUAGGAAAACCACCAAAUACCAUGAAACUUGAAAUAAUAUCACAAGGAUUGGCAGCACUGAUAAUGGCUGUGAAGUUGCUUGUUGCGAGUUGUGUUUUUGUGAUGAUGUUAAUUUUGGAGGGUCUAUUUGUCUUUCAUCAUCUUGACAUAGAACUCCAUACAAUCCACAUCAAAAGUAACUUGGACAGACAAUAUAGCCUUCAUGAUGGAGACAUUCAGAUGUGAUUUUUCAAGAGACCACACAUCAUUUGUUAUUGAAAGGACACAUUCAUCAGCGACUGCAGUGCCCAGCAAACGUAGCUAAGACUGUGGAAUUUGUUAUAUCUGCCUUGUUGUCCACCUCUUAAAAAACGUUCACCUAUCUUUCAGCAAUGGGUGCUCUCUGAUGGUUUCAGUCAGAAAGGUGAUAAGAAAUGAUUGAUUUUUGCAUUGGCCCACUCAUCAAAGAGAUGAUUCUCAUCCAACAUACUUAAAGUGGGAAUUCUAGUGCGACAUGUAGUGAGAUUAUCUUGUAUCUAGUCCCACAGUGGUAUUUUUCUCAGCAGGGCCUACUUAAGUUUUUGGUGCACUCAAAGACAGGCUUUCAGUGCUUUAGGCAAGACAGGCAUGUUGUCUAAAAAUUAUUGACUUUAUUGUAAAAUUCUUCUUCAUUUGUCCACAAUUUGCAAGAGACUGCAGUAGGUUCUUUGUUUCUGUGACAAAUCUUUCUCUAAGCCUUUCUGUUAAAUUAUCUUGCACAGAAUGUAUCUACAGCAUGACUUCAGUCACCAGCAAAUCGUAUUUUCUCAAUGGCCUCUACAGUAUUCUGAAAUGUGGCUGUUUGUUUACUGGCAAAAGUAAGCUGCAGUUUAGUGCUAGGAUCAUUGAAGACUUUUUUUUAGCAGUGUCGGGCAUUUGUCUUAAGAAAGGAAAUAUGCUUUAAGCCCAUCAAAAAUCAACAAAAUUCUUUCCGACGCUGGUCCCCGUGACAGGAAUUGUUUACUUCCAUGCACUAGUAAUUUUAAAUACUUGAGACUGACAAAUCAGCACAAGUAUUUCAACUCUUGAACAUGUACAGUGUAGAUGUGAAAGUAUGUAUAAACGUUUACAGCAGAGUUCUCCAAGUCCUUGGGAAGACAGUUGACUGCUGUUUGGGGGCAGUUAUAUACAAUAUGAGCAUCGCAGCCAGUACCAAAAAUCUCUUUUCCUAGUUUAGCUUGGAGUUUUCACCACAAAUUGUUUUUCCCCACACAUCUGGUGCCACCAAAAUUAGUGUAGGUAUUGUCUGCACAAAUUGCAGAAAACUUAGCACUAAGAGAGUACUUCUCAAUCACUUGCUGGAGACGUGCACAUUGCACAUCAGAUGUCUCACCCGGUAGAGAAGAAAACUCAGUCAUUUUUGUGUUAAUUACCCUAAUUGCAGUAUUGCCAAAUCUCGUGAUUUUCGGUGUUGUUGUUAAAGUCUACGCUUUGGGAAUGUGAAAAACUUGUUUUGUUUCUUUUCUAUGUAUUUAUAUUUAUAGACAUAUAUAUAAGAACUAAGUUUUUCACAUUCCAAAGCAUAGACUUUAACAACACCACCACCAAAAAUCAUGAGAGUUGGCAAUACUGCAAUUGCAAGAAAAUAGCAUACAAGAACAGGAAAUAGCCUUUACUCCUUUUCAUUUAUUUGUAAUAAAUGAGCACUUCUUCAAAUCACAAUACACUUCUGUUGAUAAAGAAGCUAAUAUUUUGCAAAUUAUUGUUUUGGAUUUUGUAUGAGUAGAUGAAAACUUAGGUUGGUAGAGUUUAUAAAUUCACUGUGAUGUAUAAUCACUUGACCUGAAACUGUUUCCAAGACUCUCAGAAUCGUAAAUAGACUAGUGAAAAUUU
Molecule: long non-coding RNA, 7442 nt
Organism: Alligator mississippiensis (American alligator)
Lineage: Eukaryota; Metazoa; Chordata; Crocodylia; Alligatoridae
Exons: 2
Source: RefSeq, a predicted model, not a curated record